This 95-nucleotide ribosomal RNA is filed under the name uncultured bacterium. RNAcentral describes it as "partial 16S ribosomal RNA". It matches the Rfam family "Bacterial small subunit ribosomal RNA", at positions 1388 to 1482 of the family's 1533-position model. The record is from RNAcentral.
CACCGCCCGUCACACCAUGGGAGUUGGUUUCACCCGAAGGCAGUGCGCUAACCGCAAGGAGGCAGCUGACCACGGUGGGAUCAGCGGCUGGGGUG